AGCCUUCCAGAAGUGCGAAAGCGACCGUACUAGUCCACGAAAGUGGAGGAUAAUACUUCAAAUAGGUGAAAAACCUUGCUUCGUAAAGCUAGACCUGGAGAAGUUAGAGAAGUAG
RNAcentral lists this non-coding RNA (115 nucleotides) under unclassified sequences. RNAcentral describes it as "EGFOA RNA". It matches the Rfam family "EGFOA RNA". The record is from Rfam by way of RNAcentral.